Long non-coding RNA from Leopardus geoffroyi (Geoffroy's cat), 2499 nucleotides. RefSeq lists it as uncharacterized. The transcript has 2 exons. Lineage: Eukaryota; Metazoa; Chordata; Mammalia; Carnivora; Felidae. The record is from RefSeq and is a predicted model, not a curated record.
CCUGGACAUGUGCUCCCUUUGCGGCCGGUGCGCUUUCUCCAGCCCCAGCUUGGUGAAGAUGCCUACAAGCACCAUGACGGCCACCACCCCGCAGAUGAUGUAAACGAUCAGGAGGGCACACCGCCGCGCCUCCUCUGCGCGCCCAGAUCCAGUGCAACGCAAGGCCUGGACACCUAGCUUCAGCCACCCUCCCGCGCCUGGAGUCCGCGCGUGGGUCUCCGGAGACGGCUGGCACCUGUGCUCCCGGAGCCCCCCAGACAUCCUCACCCGAUGUGGCGCAGUCCGGCCUUGCUUCCUCGGCUUCCAGCCUCCGGUCGUCGCCCGUCAGCAUUUCCAAAUCUGCCCUCUCCACUCAGCAGAUUCCAGCCAUCCGUCGGCCCUCUCUCAUUUCUCCCACUUCUGUCCUCUGCUUGAAUUUGACUCCAAUAGCCCCCCAAACAGCAUUUGCACCAAAGCUGCGACACCGAAUUUAGAUCUCCACACGCCCCUGCGUUUUUGUUUUUUUAAUUGCAUUAACUAAGUAUACACUUUGCAGUCGGCUGGGCGAUCUGCAGGGAAAUGAUGCCUCCAACCACCCCACCCCCUGCCCUGGGCUUCAGUCAGGGGCUUCUCGAGGCAUUUUCAAAGCACCAAAAAGUUGGACCACAUAAAAUGACAUAGUGGGUUCUCUUUAACUGAAAAAGCAUGCUAGAGAGGUGGUUGCUGGCCUCUCUUGUAAGUUUUCUCAGAAUGACAGGGAGCUAAGCUAAUUGUGCCUUCUCUUCGAAAAAUGUCACCUACUGUCUUCCGAAAGACUAGCAUAGAAUGACCCUAUUCCAGGAAAAAAACGAACCAGGCCGACCCUGACCCAGCAUAUCCAGGAGGAUGCCAGCCCUCGGAGACUCACUGAAUUAUGGGCUGUAUUUUGUCCCAAACCCACCUGGACAAGGUGUGAGAUUGUUCAGUCUAAAUGCAUCAGAGCCAUCGGAAUGAGGUUCCCGAAAUAGGGUAGUGUGACAUGUCUGUCGACCCACACCCACCACCACUGUGUGAGCCUCUACAAACACAAGCAUUGGUGUGUGAGAGCUAAUGAUAGCUGACAUUUAUUCGAUGCUUACAACAUACCCACUAAGCUUGUCUUUUCUAAAAUCACCUCCUCACAGAUGCUCAAAGCAGUGCCUGGCAUCUCGCAGACAAUCUGGGAAUAGUUGCUAAACCACUUGAGUGACUGAUCUUAUUUAACUCUAUCUCUAGGUAAUAUUACCGGGCCCACACAACAGAGGGAGAGACUGAGGCCCAAAGCAAUUAAACCAAUUGCCCAUAGUAGCGCAGCAAGGGACGCUACCCAGUUGGCAUUUGACCCAACAAAUGUGACUCCUGGGUCUGUGUUCUAACCAUUCCAGGUAGUGCCUUCCUAAAAUAGGCCUCCAGACUCCCUGUCCAUCUGACAUUACGUUAUAUAUUUGGUUUUUGCCUGUCUCCUGUCUCCACACGUCGAUUGGUAAACUCCAGGACAGAAAGGGGCCUUGAUUCCUGCAGCAUCUCCCAGCACCUACAGCAGCGAGAAGCAUGACAAACACUCAAAAAAUACUUAGAGGCUGUUUUGAUUAACUUACUAAGCUCUCUUACGCAAGACCGUUGGUGUUAAACCAAGGGAGGAAAGGAACCCGUACGACAGGAACAGACAAUGGAGUUUCUGCUGUCAGGACCACGCAGAGGGAUUGGGAUAUUUCUAGGCACUAAAUCAGAAUAGGAAAGGACUGUUCCAGCAGGCCUGCCGAGGUCCAGGAAGCUGAGGCUCAAAGAGGUUAAGGGCUUUGUCCCAAGGUCACAUGGUCAGCAAAUGGGAAAGCUGGGUGCAGAAUGCCAGACUCCUAACCUCUGCUUUCCUGCUUGCCCACCCCCACCGCACCCCACCAAGGCACCUCCCAGCAAGCAUAGAUAGGGCUGGGAGCCUAGGUCAGUGGCCUGGUAGAAGAAUAGGUCACAGACACCUUCCCACAAGAGUUGGGGGUGUUCAGAUACUUCUAAAUUUGAUUUUAAGAAAGAGGAAAAAAAAGCACCUUCGCCAAAAGAGACAAAAUCUAGACAGCAAAGUCCAUUUUAGAAUGUCUCCAAUCUCUGUAAAAUAUUGCCUGUCACCAGAACAUUUGAGUCCGGUUCUCAGAGGAGACUCACUCAGGCUGCUGUUCCCGGCUUUAAUUAACAGAGACUGCCCCCUGUUUGUCACAAGGAGAGUGCAGGGAGCCUGCUUCAGAAAGAAGCCGACCUAAUAGACCGACCUUCGCGGCUUAUUUGCCAGAUCCCAAACUCUAAACCUGCUCCCCCUGUGAGCUUCACCCAAAGCAAAUUCCCUUGCUGUUCCCGCCUGCCCCUCUGGAAUAUCGCCCACACCUGUUUCCCAAGCCUUUGAAAAAUAUGUACAAGAAGGGGGGAAUCAGGCUCAUUUUACUCUUUAAAGGAAGAAAGCCACUUUCCUCUGGGUAUGUCAACUCAGUAAAUAGAGUCACUGCCGCCUAA